GAUGAACGCUGGCGGCGUGCCUAAUACAUGCAAGUCGAGCGAACAGAUGAGGAGCUUGCUCCUCUGACGUUAGCGGCGGACGGGUGAGUAACACGUGGAUAACCUACCUAUAAGACUGGGAUAACUUCGGGAAACCGGAGCUAAUACCGGAUAAUAUAUUGAACCGCAUGGUUCAAUAGUGAAAGACGGUUUUGCUGUCACUUAUAGAUGGAUCCGCGCCGCAUUAGCUAGUUGGUAAGGUAACGGCUUACCAAGGCAACGAUGCGUAGCCGACCUGAGAGGGUGAUCGGCCACACUGUAUCUGAGCCACGGUCCAGACUCCUACUGGAGGCAGCAGUAGGGAAUCUUCCGCAAUGGGCGAAUGCCUGACGGAGCAACGCCGCGUGAGUGAUGAAGGUCUUCGGAUCGUACACCUCUGUUAUUAGGGAAGAACAAAUGUGUAAGUAACUAUGCACGUCUUGACGGUACCUAAUCAGAAAGCCACGGCUAACUACGUG
This 497-nucleotide ribosomal RNA is filed under the name uncultured bacterium. RNAcentral's name for it is "partial 16S ribosomal RNA". It matches the Rfam family "Bacterial small subunit ribosomal RNA", at positions 28 to 507 of the family's 1533-position model. The record is from RNAcentral.